CUAAUUAUUAAAAUAACUGAUACAUGAUUGUCUAUCACGACUUUAAAUUAGACAAUACUCGUUAUAUUUACUGUUUAAAGCAAAUUGUACUCCGAUUGCUGUUCAAAUACUUCAUUUCAUAUUUGUCUUUUUAUAUUCAUUCGAUAUUUUAUUGUAAAGACAUGGAUGCUUCCUAUGCUUCGAUGAAGUCUUCCACAUCGAAGCUUAUCUUCAAGCCGUCCGCCAUCUUUAUCUCAGCACAUAAAACGUGUUGAUGGGAUAUGUGUCGUCAUAACAAUUGUUAUUUUCUGUUGGCUAAAAUAGUUGCCGCUCCGCUCGAUGGAACGGCAAAAGUUGAAAUAUCUUGAAGUUUAAAUUCCGUCGAAUAUCCUUCGUCCUUGACGGCAAAAAUGACGUCAUUUUCUCUUUCGUCGACGGUUUGGCUGCGUUCCUAAAAUCAGCAGCUUGCGAGCGAAAAAUGGCUAAAGGCGAACAGAGGACCUCAAACUCAUAAAGAUGACAACGAGCAAGUUAGCCAACACCUGAAAAUGUUGGUUUUAGGCAAGUCACAACAA
This 554-nucleotide long non-coding RNA is filed under the name Androctonus crassicauda. The record is from RNAcentral. Lineage: Eukaryota; Metazoa; Arthropoda; Arachnida; Scorpiones; Buthidae.